GAUGAACGCUGGCGGCGUGCCUAAUACAUGCCAGUCGAGCGAGCAGACGAGGAGCUUGCUCCUCUGACGUUAGCGGCGGACGGGUGAGUAACACGUGGAUAACCUACCUAUAAGACUGGGAUAACUUCGGGAAACCGGAGCUAAUACCGGAUAAUAUAUUGAACCGCAUGGUUCAAUAGUGAAAGACGGUUUUGCUGUCACUUAUAGAUGGAUCCGCGCCGCAUUAGCUAGUUGGUAAGGUAACGGCUUACCAAGGCAACGAUGCGUAGCCGACCUGAGAGGGUGAUCGGCCACACUGGAACUGAGACACGGUCCAGACUCCUACGGGAGGCAGCAGUGGGGAAUAUUCGGCAAUGGGCGAAAGCCUGACGGAGCAACGCCGCGUGAGUGAAGAAGGUCUUCGGAUCGUAAAACCCUUUUAUUAGGAAAGAAAAAAUGUGUAAGAAACUAUGCCCGUCUUGACGGUACCUAAUCAGAAAGCCCCGGCUAACUACGUG
RNAcentral lists this ribosomal RNA (497 nucleotides) under uncultured bacterium. RNAcentral's name for it is "partial 16S ribosomal RNA". It matches the Rfam family "Bacterial small subunit ribosomal RNA", at positions 28 to 507 of the family's 1533-position model. The record is from RNAcentral.